GGGUUAGCCAUGCAUGUGUAAGCGAAGCUUUUAGUGGAGCGGCGCAAGGCUCAGUAACGGGCGUCUGAUUUGAUCUCUCGGAGUGGACAACCUCUGUAACCGGAGGCCAAAACACGGGAGGGGCAUGCAGUGGAGAUGCCCCGAGAACAUUAGUGAGAGAGAGUAAGGAGCCAUCCCAUCAGUUAGUAAGUAGGGUAAGGGCCUACUUAGACGAGGACGGGUACGGGGAAUUAGAGUUUGAUUCCGGAGAGGGAGCCUGAGAGACGGCUACCAGGUCCAAGGACAGCAGCAGGCGCGAAAAUUACCGAAGCCUGCAUUCAGGGCGGUAGUAAGGAAACGUGAAAACGAUGUGCAGGUAAAGAAUGCACUAGUAACAGGAGGUCAAGACUGGUGCCAGCAUCCGCGGUAAUACCAGCUCCUGGAGUGUCUAUGAUGAUUGCUGCAGUUAAAGAGUUCGUAGUCGGACUGCGUGACUGGCGUGAAAGACCCUUUUAUUCAUUCAAGGGGGGCGCAGCGCCGGAAAAGCAGGGAAUAAGGAGCGGCCGGGGCACAGGUUAUUAAGCGACGAGAGGUGAAAUUUGAUGACUCGCUUAGGAGCAACAGAGGCGAAAGCGCUGUGCAGGGGCGAUUCCGAUGAUAAAGGACGUAGGCUAGAGGAUCGAAGAUGAUUAGAGACCGUUGUAGUUCUAGCAGUAAACGAUGCCGAUGCCGUGGGGCAGUUCUUAGACUGCGCCGCGGAAGAGAAAUUGAGUAGGGCCCUGGGGAGAGUACACGCGCAAGCGAGAAAUUUAAAGGAAAUU
This is a ribosomal RNA of 800 nucleotides. It matches the Rfam family "Microsporidia small subunit ribosomal RNA", at positions 41 to 788 of the family's 1311-position model.